This 445-nucleotide ribosomal RNA is filed under the name Klebsiella pneumoniae. RNAcentral describes it as "bacterial SSU rRNA". It matches the Rfam family "Bacterial small subunit ribosomal RNA", at positions 1098 to 1533 of the family's 1533-position model. Lineage: Bacteria; Pseudomonadati; Pseudomonadota; Gammaproteobacteria; Enterobacterales; Enterobacteriaceae. The record is from RNAcentral.
GCAACCCUUAUCCUUUGUUGCCAGCGGUCCGGCCGGGAACUCAAAGGAGACUGCCAGUGAUAAACUGGAGGAAGGUGGGGAUGACGUCAAGUCAUCAUGGCCCUUACGACCAGGGCUACACACGUGCUACAAUGGCAUAUACAAAGAGAAGCGACCUCGCGAGAGCAAGCGGACCUCAUAAAGUAUGUCGUAGUCCGGAUUGGAGUCUGCAACUCGACUCCAUGAAGUCGGAAUCGCUAGUAAUCGUAGAUCAGAAUGCUACGGUGAAUACGUUCCCGGGCCUUGUACACACCGCCCGUCACACCAUGGGAGUGGGUUGCAAAAGAAGUAGGUAGCUUAACCUUCGGGAGGGCGCUUACCACUUUUGUGAUCAUGACUGGGGUGAAGUCGUAACAAGGUAACCGUAGGGGGAACCUGCGUUGGAUCACCUCCUUACCUUAAAGAA